RNAcentral lists this long non-coding RNA (531 nucleotides) under Nicotiana benthamiana. Its description in RNAcentral is "long non-coding RNA (NBEN_LNC013954)". The record is from RNAcentral. Lineage: Eukaryota; Viridiplantae; Streptophyta; Magnoliopsida; Solanales; Solanaceae.
AAAAAGAAAACUGCUUUCCCUGAACUUUCUCUGCAAACCUACAUUGAUAGAGGGCAGUUACUCAAACCCUAAUAUACGCACGAUUGAAACCAAAACCACCACUGAAAUCAUAUGGUGCUCCAAACUGCGUUCAUUCUAUGGUACUCCGAGUAUUUUGCGAGGGAGAAAUGAAUCGACAUUGAAAAGGCAAAAAUCCUCCGUGAAAAGCUGGAUUGAUGUUACCGUAUAUUUGGUCCUCUUACAUUGGUGAAUGAAUAUGUCACUUUGGUUUACCAGACACGCGCCCUUCACUACUUCACAGAAUAUUACUUUACUUUGUUUGUCAAGUUUUUCACUCCUCUAAUUCUCUCCUUUCCUUGCUCUUUGCAAUUUUUUGGCCACUUUGCUACUUCAACAUUUCAAGGUGUAAUAUUUAUUUAGAUGAGUUUUUCAAUUCUCCUGGGCUUCUCUGUGUUUAUAUGUUUAACUUUUCUCCUUUCUUUGUUCAGAUUUUUUUCAUGACUUGUGUUGUUUCCUGAUUCUAAACUUAAU